Molecule: long non-coding RNA, 1559 nt
Filed under: Trifolium pratense (red clover)
Lineage: Eukaryota; Viridiplantae; Streptophyta; Magnoliopsida; Fabales; Fabaceae
Description: long non-coding RNA (TPRA_LNC010034)
Source: RNAcentral
AAGCAUAUCUCAGGUCCAACCUGUCAGAAAACAUAAGACAUAUUUAGUUAAAAGCUAAAUAAUUAUUAGGGCCAAACAUCCACUUACAAUCUAGUUGAUGAUAAUACACCAAAGAAUAUAGGACUCUCUCAAGUACAUAAAAGAGAAAACAAAUUUUGUGGGCUAAUAAAGAAUAAAUAAAAGUGUAUUCAUCUUGUAAAAGAAAAGCAAUUUCUCACCUUCUCAGCAAUUUGAAGCAAUUCAGCUGCAGUUCCAACAUCUGCAGCCAAACACAGAUUACUCCCUCUUCAUAGUAUAUACUGUCAUGCAUCAGAAUAUUCUAGCUUCACUUAUGGAAAAAACUGGAUUGUUGUUUAUAGUCAUCAUGAUUGGAAGCAUCAAACAACAAUUAUUUAUGUCAUUUCCUACCCCUUAACUAAAGGAUCUCUAAUGUUCCUUCAUCAUGUGGUAUUUACACAUGGUUGUUUUGUACAUGAAGAUGGUCUAUAAGGGUAGUUUUCAUGUUCCUAAAGUCUUAACUAAGUUGAAGGAUUGGCCUCCAAAGCUACUCAAAUUUGGCACAACAUAGAAAAAACAUAAAUUAAUAAAACAAGUGACCAUUGCAGAGACAAAAAAACAUAAAUUAUUAAAAAGAAAACUAUUUCAAAACACCUGACUUAUGCUCCAUAACCAAGUUCAACAUAGUAAAAUUCAAACAGGACAAGAAAAUUACUAUUCAAUUAUAUAUUCCAUUUGAACCCAAUACACAAUUCAGCUUAACCAGAGUACUUCAAAACACAAUAUGCAUACCAAUGGGACAUUUAAUGAUUCUGUUAAUACUCAUGUCAACAAGAUCAUAGUGAAUUACAUAAUUGAAUUUUAUGUGACACACAAGAUUAAAACAAACCACAAAUUGUCCUAUUCCUUUUCAUCAAUUAACAUCCUAAGAAGUAUAAACAAAAAUUAGAACACGCUUCCAGAAUUUAUUAAUGCUUAUGGUGUUUUUUCUCCAGAAUUUAGUACCUGAGAACACGACGAAUGAAGAACACGGUUUGGGGUUUCAAAGAGAAGAAGACGAUUUAGGGAUUUAGGGUUUCAACACGAAGAAUGAAGAACAGUUUGCAGUGAAGAAGAAUGAAAAUGAUUUAGGGAUUUGGGAUUUAGGGAUUUCAAAGAGAAUUAGGGAUUAGGGAUUUGGGAUUUAGGGAUUUGGGUAUUUGGCGACAAUUUCACGGGAUUCUCCAAGCCUUUGUUCUACAUACAAAGAAAUUUUGAGAAAUCUUANNNNNNNNNNNNNNNNNNNNNNNNNNNNNNNNNNNNNNNNNNNNNNNNNNNNNNNNNNNNNNNNNGAAGAAUUGAACAUACCGAAAGUAAACUCGUUCUGGAGAAGAUGAAGUUCGUCGUUCCGAUUGUGAAGUUCGUCGUUCCGAUUGUGCCCUAAUUUUGAGAGAUGAUUGGGAAUGAUGAAGAAGACGAGAGUAAACUUAGAAUGAUGAAUGAUUGAAACUCGUUCUGGAGAAGAUGAUUGAUGAUUGAUGAAUGAUGAAGAAGACGAGAGUAAACUUAGAAGAUGAAUGAUG